CGGGUGAGUAACACGUGAGCAACCUGCCCCUGACUCUGGGAUAAGCGGUGGAAACGCCGUCUAAUACCGGAUACGACCCGCCACCUCAUGGUGGAGGGUGGAAAGUUUUUCGGUCAGGGAUGGGCUCGCGGCCUAUCAGCUUGUUGGUGGGGUAACGGCCUACCAAGGCGAUUACGGGUAGCCGGCCUGAGAGGGCGACCGGCCACACUGGGACUGAGACACGGCCCAGACUCCUGCGGGAGGCAGCAGUGGGGAAUAUUGCGCAAUGGGCGAAAGCCUGACGCAGCGACGCCGCGUGGGGGAUGACGGCCUUCGGGUUGUAAACCUCUUUUACCACCAACGCAGGCUUCCAGUUCUCUGGAGGUUGACGGUAGGUGGGGAAUAAGGACCGGCUAACUACGUGCCAGCAGCCGCGGUAAUACGUAGGGUCCGAGCGUUGUCCGGAAUUAUUGGGCGUAAAGAGCUCGUAGGCGGCGUGUCGCGUCUGCUGUGAAAGACCGGGGCUUAACUCCGGUUCUGCAGUGGAUACGGGCAUGCUAGAGGUAGGUAGGGGAGACUGGAAUUCCUGGUGUAGCGGUGAAAUGCGCAGAUAUCAGGAGGAACACCGGUGGCGAAGGCGGGUCUCUGGGCCUUACCUGACGCUGAGGAGCGAAAGCAUGGGGAGCGAACAGGAUUAGAUACCCUGGUAGUCCAUGCCGUAAACGUUGGGCGCUAGGUGUGGGGACUUUCCACGGUUUCCGCGCCGUAGCUAACGCAUUAAGCGCCCCGCCUGGGGAGUACGGCCGCAAGGCUAAAACUCAAAGGAAUUGACGGGGGCCCGCACAAGCGGCGGAGCAUGUUGCUUAAUUCGACGCAACGCGAAGAACCUUACCAAGGUUUGACAUCACCCGUGGACUCGCAGAGAUGUGAGGUCAUUUAGUUGGCGGGUGACAGGUGGUGCAUGGCUGUCGUCAGCUCGUGUCGUGAGAUGUUGGGUUAAGUCCCGCAACGAGCGCAACCCUUGUUCCAUGUUGCCAGCACGUAAUGGUGGGGACUCAUGGGAGACUGCCGGGGUCAACUCGGAGGAAGGUGGGGAUGACGUCAAGUCAUCAUGCCCCUUAUGUCUUGGGCUGCAAACAUGCUACAAUGGCCGGUACAAUGGGCGUGCGAUACCGUAAGGUGGAGCGAAUCCCUAAAAGCCGGUCUCAGUUCGGAUUGGGGUCUGCAACUCGACCCCAUGAAGGUGGAGUCGCUAGUAAUC
RNAcentral lists this ribosomal RNA (1240 nucleotides) under Nocardiopsis dassonvillei. RNAcentral describes it as "bacterial SSU rRNA". It matches the Rfam family "Bacterial small subunit ribosomal RNA", at positions 103 to 1343 of the family's 1533-position model. Lineage: Bacteria; Bacillati; Actinomycetota; Actinomycetes; Streptosporangiales; Nocardiopsidaceae. The record is from RNAcentral.